GGUGGGAAUAGGUCAGGCCAGGCCAGGCUUUAAAAGGUCUGAGCCUAGCCUACGAUGAAUUUUUGAGGCCUGAGACUGGCCUAUAGCCUAUCAAAGACUUUUAUUUUGGUUCGACUUGACCUUUUUAAAAGGCUAGCCUGGCUUAAUAGCCUUUUUAAAAGUCUUCUUCACAUUAAGUUUUUAAUAUUCCUUCAUGAAAAAGGAGA
RNAcentral lists this long non-coding RNA (206 nucleotides) under Glycine max (soybean). RNAcentral describes it as "long non-coding RNA (GMAX_LNC002892)". The record is from RNAcentral. Lineage: Eukaryota; Viridiplantae; Streptophyta; Magnoliopsida; Fabales; Fabaceae.